This 541-nucleotide unclassified non-coding RNA is filed under the name Ulva clathrata. RNAcentral describes it as "sequence contains ITS1". The stretch from base 181 to 335 matches the Rfam family "5.8S ribosomal RNA". Lineage: Eukaryota; Viridiplantae; Chlorophyta; Ulvophyceae; Ulvales; Ulvaceae. The record is from RNAcentral.
CACUCACAGAGCACCGCGGGCAGCUGCUGCACUCCAGCGGCUGUCCGCCGUAGUAUCCCCAGGGCCCCGGCCAGGGACGACCAGCGGUCGGCCCGGCCGGGCGCCCUGACCCAACCCAUCCAACCCUUCUGCCCUGAAGCAGCUUCGCACGGGGACUCCCCGCGCGACGUUAACUGAGACAACUCUCAACAACGGAUAUCUUGGCUCUCGCAACGAUGAAGAACGCAGCGAAAUGCGAUACGUAGUGUGAAUUGCAGAAUUCCGUGAAUCAUCGAAUCUUUGAACGCACAUUGCCGGUCGACUCUCCGGAGGAGACCACAUCUGCCUCAGCGUCGGAAUACCCCCUCACACGCUCCCGCGUGUGGACCUGGCCCCCCCGGACUCGAACCACCAUGAGAGGCCGGGCCGGCUGAAAUGCAGAGGCUCGCCUGCGGCUCCACUCCACGGAAGUGGGCCCCGACUAGGUAGGUAGCUCGCUACUUCUAGGCGGCGGUCCGGUGCUGCGGGCUCUGGGCCCAAAGGAUAACCCCCAUUCCAUCGA